GCCUGGGUGGCUCAACUGGUUGAGCAUCUGACUCUUGAUUUCAGCUUAGGUCAUGAUCUCAGUCAUGGGUUUGAACCCCAUGUCAGGCU
This 89-nucleotide transfer RNA is filed under the name Mustela putorius furo (domestic ferret). It matches the Rfam family "tRNA". From Rfam's summary of the family: Transfer RNA (tRNA) molecules are approximately 80 nucleotides in length. Their secondary structure includes four short double-helical elements and three loops (D, anti-codon, and T loops). Further hydrogen bonds mediate the characteristic L-shaped molecular structure. tRNAs have two regions of fundamental functional importance: the anti-codon, which is responsible for specific mRNA codon recognition, and the 3' end, to which the tRNAs corresponding amino acid is attached (by aminoacyl-tRNA synthetases). tRNAs cope with the degeneracy of the genetic code in two manners: having more than one tRNA (with a specific anti-codon) for a particular amino acid; and 'wobble' base-pairing, i.e. permitting non-standard base-pairing at the 3rd anti-codon position. Lineage: Eukaryota; Metazoa; Chordata; Mammalia; Carnivora; Mustelidae. The record is from Rfam by way of RNAcentral.